This is a long non-coding RNA of Xenopus laevis (African clawed frog), 127 nucleotides long. RefSeq lists it as uncharacterized. The transcript is spliced from 3 exons. NCBI's taxonomy places the organism in Eukaryota, Metazoa, Chordata, Amphibia, Anura, Pipidae. The record is from RefSeq and is a predicted model, not a curated record.
AAAAAGGGCAUGAAAACAUAAUUAUGCCUCUUUAUAGGGGAAUUGCCUGGAGGAGAAGAAGAAGAAGCUGGCUGUCAAUCUUGCCGGCAGAGAAGAGCGCGCCAGACAUAGGGCGGCCAGGAAAGAU